This 462-nucleotide ribosomal RNA is filed under the name Latilactobacillus sakei. RNAcentral describes it as "bacterial SSU rRNA". It matches the Rfam family "Bacterial small subunit ribosomal RNA", at positions 100 to 548 of the family's 1533-position model. Lineage: Bacteria; Bacillati; Bacillota; Bacilli; Lactobacillales; Lactobacillaceae. The record is from RNAcentral.
GGACGGGUGAGUAACACGUGGGUAACCUGCCCUAAAGUGGGGGAUAACAUUUGGAAACAGAUGCUAAUACCGCAUAAAACCUAACACCGCAUGGUGUAGGGUUGAAAGAUGGUUUCGGCUAUCACUUUAGGAUGGACCCGCGGUGCAUUAGUUAGUUGGUGAGGUAAAGGCUCACCAAGACCGUGAUGCAUAGCCGACCUGAGAGGGUAAUCGGCCACACUGGGACUGAGACACGGCCCAGACUCCUACGGGAGGCAGCAGUAGGGAAUCUUCCACAAUGGACGAAAGUCUGAUGGAGCAACGCCGCGUGAGUGAAGAAGGUUUUCGGAUCGUAAAACUCUGUUGUUGGAGAAGAAUGUAUCUGAUAGUAACUGAUCAGGUAGUGACGGUAUCCAACCAGAAAGCCACGGCUAACUACGUGCCAGCAGCCGCGGUAAUACGUAGGUGGCAAGCGUUGUCCGG